UGACCAUUCCUGUAAGUGUGGAGCC
Molecule: non-coding RNA, 25 nt
Filed under: Rattus norvegicus (Norway rat)
Lineage: Eukaryota; Metazoa; Chordata; Mammalia; Rodentia; Muridae
Source: RNAcentral